CCCUCACCAUGCUGCCUGCUUCAGAGCCAGAAUAUGUGCCACCCUGACAACCACACUCACCACAGCCAGAGAAAAUCAUGGAAAGAGAAAAGGAUCCCCAGGCAAUGUUGACCUAUCCAAGACACACAAGACUUGGCUACAAGUAACUCAGAGAGCUGGGACUUCUCUGGGUACCUCUGAGAUCACCCAGUUAUUUUAUGCAGAGGGAUCAGCAUCUUGGAGAAGUUAAAGCCCUUACCUAUGGCCACUGGCUUUAUAAGUAAAGUCAAAGGCCAAGCCAGCACUCACUGAAUCAGUGAUCCCAUGAGAUGGCCACAGAAGGGCUAACCAACCAUCUGCUUUAAAUAUAGACUAUGUAUGUGAAAGACGGAAAGAAACAGUUGUCUGGGUCACCAGAAGCAAUUGGCCACAUCCUUCAAAUAGCAUGAGUUUAAGCUGAUAUCAGUUGUCAGUGCCCAUGUUCUUCCAAGAUUCCAUGGGGCCAUCAGGAAAAGAUGCAGAAUCUCAAUAGCCCAGUAGUAGUUUUCAUCAUCCUUUUCCGUCUGGACUUCACCCAAAGAGGCAUCCAAUCUCAGUGCCAAGUAAGACUGGGAACUAUCCUCUCCAUGGGAUAAAGCCAGGGACUCCUAAGGAAACCCCAGCUUCUCUUGGAGCCUGCAAGCUAAUGGGCUAUUUCCAUCUGCCAUGCUCUCUCUUCCAGCAUUCCCCUCCUCUCAUUGAAGAAUACAGGAAAUCCCUUGGCACUGGUCUGUUCAGAAGAACUGAGUUGGCUUGUUCUGAGUAGCCUCAGGCUUCCUUAAGCCUGUCAUUGUAGAAAUGGGAAUGCCCCCAGGUGGUUUGACUCACCACUGCCAUGUCUCCUCUUACCAUCUGAUCCUUUCUGGCAUGCUUCUGAGUUUGAACUCUUGUUUCUCUUUCUGAAUUUAUUGACAACUCCUUGCAGCUAUUGUCUUCACUGUGCCCGUUUCUGCUUUGCUGAUUGUUAAGCAGAGGUGAUGGGAGUGUAAAGGGAGAAGACUGGCUCUUUUCACUUGCUCAGCUAUAGAACAGAUCUGAGUGUCUACUUCCUUGCAGCCUGUGUGUUGGUCUGCCCAUGUGCCUAUGCCAGCCUGUGUGUAGCCCUUGUGUGCCAGCAUAUACCCGCCUCAAAGCCUGUGCAUUGAUGAAUAAAGAAAGUCUUUUCUUCCCACGACUCCUCAAAAAUCUCUUCAACGUCUUGGCCUCCCUUGGCCUGCCUCCUCUCCUGGCAUCAGAGCUUGGACCUCACAGGUACUGAGGAUAUGCCAGAAAACAGAAUGUAAGGACUGAGGAUAUGCUGGAGAACAGAAUGGCACAGCUUCAUGGACUGCAGUAUAUGGAAGAAAAACGGGCAUAAAAU
Molecule: long non-coding RNA, 1378 nt
Organism: Peromyscus eremicus (cactus mouse)
Lineage: Eukaryota; Metazoa; Chordata; Mammalia; Rodentia; Cricetidae
Exons: 3
Source: RefSeq, a predicted model, not a curated record